Molecule: long non-coding RNA, 121 nt
Organism: Etheostoma cragini (Arkansas darter)
Lineage: Eukaryota; Metazoa; Chordata; Actinopteri; Perciformes; Percidae
Exons: 3
Source: RefSeq, a predicted model, not a curated record
CCUUCUGGGCUCACCAAAACGGACGUAAAAGCGUGUUAACCAUUUACUGCAAGUGAUCGCUAGUAAACAUAUUACACUUGCUCUGCUAGUCUAUCGUUAGCUAGCUAGCUUUUAGUUCAUU